Long non-coding RNA from Labeo rohita (rohu), 520 nucleotides. RefSeq lists it as uncharacterized. The transcript is spliced from 4 exons. NCBI's taxonomy places the organism in Eukaryota, Metazoa, Chordata, Actinopteri, Cypriniformes, Cyprinidae. The record is from RefSeq and is a predicted model, not a curated record.
CUCCAGUCCGCUCAACAUCAGUCACUCCUCCACGAACUCCUCCAGCAGUGUCCCCUCAGUUCCCCGUCCCCCCAGUGCUUGUGAUUGUACUGGUAGUUGUGCUCUUACUGCUCUUAGUGCCACUGCUUAUACUGAUUCAGCAGAACAGAGUGAUGAGGAGAGGUAGGAGAGAUCCAGAGACUGUCAUAUUGUGUCUUAUUCAGUGUGUGAUCAGUCAUGUGUUGUGAACUGACAGCAGGUUUGUCUGUCUACACUCACAGCUCUCUCUAAGAGGAGACACAGGACGACGACUGAGGCCGUUUAUGAGGAGAUUCAGCACAGACACAAUCACUUCACUCAGAGGGGGAGUCUCAUCUCUGAAGAACUGCAUUCUGGGUAUGAAAAUACUGAUGAGCUUCUCUCAGUGGACACACCAGAGAAUUAUGAUGAUGUCAUCAUUAUUGGACAGAAUUUUCAAGGUGUAACAGUGGGAGAUCAGGAGGAGUAUGAUGAUGUGAAGAACAGCAAUAAAAAUGAGAGA